Molecule: long non-coding RNA, 147 nt
Organism: Empidonax traillii (willow flycatcher)
Lineage: Eukaryota; Metazoa; Chordata; Aves; Passeriformes; Tyrannidae
Exons: 3
Source: RefSeq, a predicted model, not a curated record
UCCCCUUUCCCAGGGCCAGGUUCUUCUAACAUAACCCUUCUUGGGGUGUAUGUGUGGAGAUUCCUCCCUUGGCUGGGGACAUCCUCCAAGGAUACUCCUCGAGGUUGAGAGAAAGAGAUCCCCCCACGAACAUUGGUAUGGGUUAGU